GGCCUGUUAGCUCAGUCGGUUAGAGCGUCGUGCUAAUAACGCGAAGGUCGUGGGUUCGAUCCCCACACGGGCCA
RNAcentral lists this transfer RNA (74 nucleotides) under Cryptotermes secundus. RNAcentral's name for it is "tRNA-Ile (AAT) (tRNA-Ile-AAT-1-1, tRNA-Ile-AAT-1-2)". It matches the Rfam family "tRNA". Rfam says of the family: Transfer RNA (tRNA) molecules are approximately 80 nucleotides in length. Lineage: Eukaryota; Metazoa; Arthropoda; Insecta; Blattodea; Kalotermitidae. The record is from Rfam by way of RNAcentral.